AUGCGCGAAAGCGUGAACAUGCGACGCCCGCGUUGGAGGAUGAAGGCCUUCGGGUUGUAAACUCCUGUAGUCAGGGAGCAAUCGUCGGUGGGUUAAUACCCCAUCGGCCUGAUCGUACCUGAACAGUAAGCCACGGCUAACUCUGUGCCAGCAGCCGCGGUAAUACAGAGGUGGCAAGCGUUGUUCGGAUUUACUGGGCGUAAAGGGUGCGUAGGCGGUUGCGUGUGUCGGAUGUGAAAUCUCACUGUUCAUCGGUGAAACUGCAUUCGAAACUACGUGACUCGAGUACUGGAGAGGAGAGCGGACUCCUUGGUGUAGCGGUGAAAUGCGUUGAAGAUCCAGAAGAACACCGGUGGUGAAGACGGCUCUCUUGGACAGAGACUGACGCUGAGGGACGAAAGCUAGGGGAGCAAACAGGAUUAGAUACCGUGGUAGUCCUAGCCGUAUACGUUGUGCACUUGGUGUGGGAGGAGUUUACCCAUUCCGUGCGGUAGCUAACGUGUUAAGUGCACCGCAUGGGGAGUACGCCCGCAAGGCUAAAACUCAAAGAAAUUGACGGGGGCCCGCACAANCGGUGGAGCAUGUGGCUUAAUUCGAUGCAACGCGAAGAACCUUACCUGGGCUUGACAUGGAGAGACUUCGGUCUAUACCGGUGAAAGUCGGUGAUACUCACACAGGUGCUGCAUGNCUGUCGUCAGCUCGUCCCGUGAGGUGUUGGGUUAAGUCCCGCAACGAGCGCAACCUUUGUGUAUAGUGCCACUCCGGUUUACCGGAAGCACUCUAUUCAGACUGCCUGUGAUAAGCAGGAGGAAGGUGGGGAUGACGUCAAGUCCGUAUGGCCAUUAUGUCCAGGGCUGCACAC
This 862-nucleotide ribosomal RNA is filed under the name uncultured organism. RNAcentral's name for it is "bacterial SSU rRNA". It matches the Rfam family "Bacterial small subunit ribosomal RNA", at positions 371 to 1221 of the family's 1533-position model. The record is from RNAcentral.